AAAAGUUUAUUUUGUGAUAUUUACAACAUGGCCGGAAUAAUUGAUGUACAUACACUGUUUCUGACGUAAAUGAAGACUUCAACUGGAAAAAUUUUGACGCAAGCAGCAAAACUGAACUUCUGCAACAAUUCCGCUCGGAAAAUAAUGGAUGGAGGUUGGAAGACAAUCAGUAUCAAUUCAACUGGUUUGGUGGAGAACAGUUGCCUGCUUUCAGUGAAUCCCUUGAAAAUGAAUCAGAGGAGGAAACACUGAAAACUGAUGAUGAUGAUCGCCAAUCGCGUCGGAAUCAGUGCUAAGGAAGGUACUGGAAC
Aethina tumida (small hive beetle) is the source of this 311-nucleotide long non-coding RNA. RefSeq lists it as uncharacterized. The record is from RefSeq and is a predicted model, not a curated record. NCBI's taxonomy places the organism in Eukaryota, Metazoa, Arthropoda, Insecta, Coleoptera, Nitidulidae. The transcript has 3 exons.